UCUCAGUCUUUCUCUCAUUGGCGCUGCCUCUGUCUCUCUCUGUCUCGGUGUGUUGUGAACAUCCCCCUUUCCCUCUUCUUCUCCCUGUUUCUCUGUCCCUUUCCACUACUUCUCCUUCUCCCUCUUCCUAUCCCCUUUUCAGGCUUGCUGCAGCUUCAGCUUCGGUGGUGCUUAGGGAUCGGACUGCAGAGGUUAAUGAUGGCCCCCCCACACCCCCCGCUCCCCAUCCAAGAUGUAUCUGACUGUCAGGAGGGGUGACAGAUGAAGACAAAGUACAGGAACAGGAUUCACGGGACGUUUAGUUCUCGGUUCUGGUGACAGCCGGAAAUCACUGGCGCUGCAAUGUUUCCUCCAUUCUUUUUGUGACUGUUUAUGGUCUCCAAAAACACCUGGUUGGAGGAUCCCCCAAUCCCUCCUUCGUGAGUGUUUCCUGACCUGGGGCUGUCGUAGGUAUCCAGGCCAGUCGCAGAGACCAGUAUCAGCUGCUUCAUGGGACAGUGCUGCUGUAAGAGACAGCCCCACCCUGCCUCACCCCGGGCAGUGAUUCACCUAAGCCUAGCUUAGCCCUGAAACAUGGAACUCCCUUUCUAAGCAUAUCCUGCUCAGUUGGGCCAAGAAACAAGGCCAUGCAGGGUCAUUGGGGGUUCUAGCAUGGUAAGGAUGGGGGGGAGACGGGGAGAUGGGUAACUCCUCUAACCAAUUACAACCCUAC
Molecule: long non-coding RNA, 712 nt
Organism: Vombatus ursinus (common wombat)
Lineage: Eukaryota; Metazoa; Chordata; Mammalia; Diprotodontia; Vombatidae
Exons: 3
Source: RefSeq, a predicted model, not a curated record